This 85-nucleotide transfer RNA is filed under the name Felis catus (domestic cat). It matches the Rfam family "tRNA". From Rfam's summary of the family: Transfer RNA (tRNA) molecules are approximately 80 nucleotides in length. Their secondary structure includes four short double-helical elements and three loops (D, anti-codon, and T loops). Lineage: Eukaryota; Metazoa; Chordata; Mammalia; Carnivora; Felidae. The record is from Rfam by way of RNAcentral.
GCCUGGGUGGCUCAGUAGGUUAAGCGUCCGACUUUGGCUCAGGUCAUGAUCUCGCGGUCCGUGGGUUCGAGCCCCGCGUCAGGCU